UAGGGAAUCUUCCACAAUGGACGAAAGUCUGAUGGAGCAACGCUGCGUGAGUGAAGAAGGGUUUCGGCUCGUAAAACUCUGUUGUUAAAGAAGAACAUAUCUGAGAGUAACUGUUCAGGUAUUGACGGUAUUUAACCAGAAAGCCGCGGCUAACUACGUGCCAG
RNAcentral lists this ribosomal RNA (164 nucleotides) under uncultured bacterium. RNAcentral describes it as "partial 16S rRNA". It matches the Rfam family "Bacterial small subunit ribosomal RNA", at positions 355 to 511 of the family's 1533-position model. The record is from RNAcentral.